RNAcentral lists this ribosomal RNA (424 nucleotides) under uncultured archaeon. Its description in RNAcentral is "partial 16S ribosomal RNA". It matches the Rfam family "Archaeal small subunit ribosomal RNA", at positions 323 to 746 of the family's 1478-position model. The record is from RNAcentral.
CUACGGGAGGCAGCAGUCGGGAAACUUCUACAAUGCACGCAAGUGUGAUAGAGCAAGCCAGAGUGCUUUUCCGUAUUGGACAAGCUUUUGCCAGAUGUAAAAAGUCUGGCGAAUAAGGACUGGGCAAGACUGGUGCCAGCCGCCGCGGUAAUACCAGCAGUCCAAGUGGCAGCCACUUUUAUUGGGUCUAAAACAUCCGUAGCUUGCUAGGCAAGUCUCUUGUGAAAUCUGACAUCUCAAGUGUCGGGCGUGCAAGAGAUACUACCUAGCUAGGGACCGGGAGACGUAAGGAGUACGCAUAGGGUAGCGGUAAAAUGCGUUGAUCCAAUGUGGACUAACGAUAGCGAAGGCACCUUACGAGAACGGAUCUGACAGUGAGGGAUGAAGGCUAGGGGCGCAAAACGGAUUAGAUACCCGUGUAGUC